AGCCGAUGAUGAUUUUAUUUUUUCUGACACCUCUUAUGAACGCUGUAUGCUAGCGGGUGAUUCUACUAUUUUAUAAUUUCUGAGGCUC
Molecule: small nucleolar RNA, 88 nt
Organism: Triplophysa dalaica
Lineage: Eukaryota; Metazoa; Chordata; Actinopteri; Cypriniformes; Nemacheilidae
Product: small nucleolar RNA SNORD60
Exons: 1
Source: RefSeq, a predicted model, not a curated record